UGGCGAGUGGCGGACGGGUGAGGAAUACAUCGGAAUCUACUUUUUCGUGGGGGAUAACGUAGGGAAACUUACGCUAAUACCGCAUACGACCUACGGGUGAAAGCAGGGGAUCUUCGGACCUUGCGCGAUUGAAUGAGCCGAUGUCGGAUUAGCUAGUUGGCGGGGUAAAGGCCCACCGAGGCGACGAUCCGUAGCUGGUCUGAGAGGAUGAUCAGCCACACUGGAACUGAGACACGGUCCAGACUCCUACGGGAGGCAGCAGUGGGGAAUAUUGGACAAUGGGCGCAAGCCUGAUCCAGCCAUACCGCGUGGGUGAAGAAGGCCUUCGGGUUGUAAAGCCCUUUUGUUGGGAAAGAAAUCCAGCUGGUUAAUACCCGGUUGGGAUGACGGUACCCAAAGAAUAAGCACCGGCUAACUUCGUGCCAGCAGCCGCGGUAAUACGAAGGGUGCAAGCGUUACUCGGAAUUACUGGGCGUAAAGCGUGCGUAGGUGGUCGUUUAAGUCCGUUGUGAAAGCCCUGGGCUCAACCUGGGAACUGCAGUGGAUACUGGGCGACUAGAGUGUGGUAGAGGGUAGCGGAAUUCCUGGUGUAGCAGUGAAAUGCGUAGAGAUCAGGAGGAACAUCCAUGGCGAAGGCAGCUGCCUGGACCAACACUGACACUGAGGCACGAAAGCGUGGGGAGCAAACAGGA
Molecule: ribosomal RNA, 692 nt
Filed under: uncultured Stenotrophomonas bacterium
Lineage: Bacteria; Pseudomonadati; Pseudomonadota; Gammaproteobacteria; Lysobacterales; Lysobacteraceae
Description: bacterial SSU rRNA
Rfam family: Bacterial small subunit ribosomal RNA
Source: RNAcentral